Molecule: small nuclear RNA, 113 nt
Filed under: Megaselia scalaris
Lineage: Eukaryota; Metazoa; Arthropoda; Insecta; Diptera; Phoridae
Source: RNAcentral
AUUCUUGCUUCGGCAGAAAAUAUACUAAAAAUAUACUAAAAUAUAUAAGAGAAGAUUAGCAUGGCCCCUGCGCAAGGAUUACAAAUAAUUUCCAAAAAGUACAUCCUAGAUGG